UGAUGAUGGUGGGGAAAAUUUCUGAGCAUACCUUUAUAUCUCUCCUAAGAUUGGUAGAGAUUCUUUCUUUCUUUCUGUCUGAAACUCAAGAUCUCACUUCUCAAGCA
Molecule: non-coding RNA, 107 nt
Organism: Capsicum annuum
Lineage: Eukaryota; Viridiplantae; Streptophyta; Magnoliopsida; Solanales; Solanaceae
Source: Rfam